CCGUAUCUUCUUAAAUACACAGAGCCCCGCUGUAAAGCACCAGUGGGGACAAGGCUUCUAGAUGGCUCCUGAGACCCUCUGCAUGGCGAAUGAAAUCAAAGCGAGCACACUGAAAUCUCCUGAAACACCUGCCGAGGAGGUAAUGAUAAAUCUGAUGUCGCACGCGGGAGCGGGAGGCCGGGCCGGGCGCCGCGGGGAAAGCGGGAGGAGGCGCGGGGAGCGAGCCGUGCGGGCCCGCCCCAGCUCCGCUCCGCGUGUGCGAGGGCGGGCGUAGGAGGGAGGCCGGCCCCGGCACCGCCCGCGCCGCGGGGCGAGGUGAGGUGAGCGCCCGCUCCUGCCAUGGCGGCGCUGCGGGACGUCUUUCGGCGGCCUUUCGGCGGCCCGCUCGCGGUGGGUUUCAGUUCCCCGGGCAGCGAGCCGACGGCAGCGGUGGUGUCUGUCAGCGCCUGUCCUGCGCCCCCGGCCUGCCGAAGAUCCCUUUGGAAGCGAAAAAACUGCUUUGAAGCAUCUAGGGGAAGCAGGCGGGAAUUUACUAUAAAUUCCUCACAGGUACAGCAGCUCUACAGAAGCAGCUUAAUUUCCUCCCGGCCGGCUGCAGGCAGUCAGCACAGCCACUCACCUCCGCGAGGCGCUGCCCCCCGAGCUCUGCUGCUGGCCGCGCUCGGUGCGGGACACGCGGUGCAGAAAGUGCCAUUUAGGAGUCUGCGCCAUACGGAUCGCGGGGCCAUUAUAAAGCCGGGCUGUGUCUGUGCUGUGUGUUCUCUGAGCUUGUUGGAGUGUCUGUGUUCACCUUUCUGUUUCGAGCGGUAGUGCGAAAAUCAUCGUUAACUUCAACACGUAUAAUUUGUGUUUCCUUUUCAGACCCUUUGUGGCGUAUCAUAAUGCUGGCCAAUCUCGUAUUUUUUCUUUGCCUGGCUAUUAAUGCUGCUUCUUAGCUUCUUCUCAUUCUCUAGUCAUACACGAUCCUGCCCCUCUGUGCUGUGGGGCCUCACCUGGAGUACUGCUUACAGAUGUGGAGUCCUCAGUACAGGAGAGACACGGACCUGUUGGAGGGUGUCCAGAGGAGGGCCACAAAAAUAAUCCCAGGGAUGGAACACCUCUCCUGUGAGGACAGGCUGGGAGAGCUGGGGCUGUUCAGCCUGGAGAAGGCACUGGGGAAACCUGAGAGUGGCCUUUCAGUAUCUAAAGGGGGGCUGUAAGAAGGAAGGGGACAGACUUUUUAGUAGGGUCUGUUGUGAAUUGGAAUUUCACACUUGGAAUUUCAUCACCCUAAUAGAAAUCAGGAGAGGGAAAUUGGUUUUGUGUGCCUCUGCAGAUGGUCAGCAGUGGACAGGACCCAGUGACAGACAUGGAAGAGUUUGGUGCUUCUGACAACUGCGGAGCGUCGCUGAGGAUCCCAGAGCUGUGACUGCAGUUUUCCAAUUCCCAGGCUGUCUUGGCAGUAGAGGAAAUGUGAAGAAGAGCUAUGUGUCAUUUGAAUAGUGCUGUCAUCUUACCAAUUACUACUAUAGCUGCUGUACACAGGUGUUGCAAGGUCAUACCUUCACCCAUCCGAGGCAAAGACAUGAUGUUAUCUGCCUGAAAAUAUCUGUCUGGGCAAUCCUUCAACAAGACUUCUCCCACACAUCAAUCCAACUUUCUUUUUUCUCCUGUAACUUCUUGCUUCUUUCAUGUUGCACAAGAGGUUCCCUAAAACAUUAAUUUUUCCUCCUCCAAAUUCCUACAGUAAGUACCACUUUGUCUACAAAAUCCUUCUCAGUAAUUAAGAAGCUCAUAUGUUACAACCUCUGCUUGGUAUGAUAAUUACCCUACUGCUAGCUCUCCCUGUUGACUGUGUUCAUCUUCCAUCCAUUGCCAUUAGCUUGAAUUGAAUAGAAUUUGGAGUGGUAUGAAGUGCCUCACACAGAGAAGAACCAGCAUUUUGAAGGGCCUGCAGGUGCUGCUACCUGAAGGUAAAUAGCUAAUAACAUCAUUUCUGUGCAUUUCUCAAGUUUUCUAAUAUAUUCAGCAAGUUUCAUUACUCCUUUCUUAAAACCGGUAAGCAAUCUCCAACUUAUUAAAGAACUAAUUGCCUGUGUUGGAGACUCUACAGGCAAAAUCCUUGAGAUUGACCUUCCUACAGCUUGGGGGCAGGAGGGAGGGAAUCUCCAGUCCUGUUUCUGAGAUAAAACAGAGCCAUUAUGACCAGUAGAUAACGUCAUGCCUUCAAAAAGGUAUAUUUGGUCAUGUUCUGCUAUGAUGUUUCUGAGUGCAGGCAGGCAAAGAGCAGUAUGUAUCCAUUACCACUUUCUCUUUCCCUUAAACAUGUGCUCCUUUUUACGUAGGAAAGUGUAAGAAAAUAUGACUCUAACUUGAUUUUUUUUUUUCUUCAGGUUAGUUUAACAACUGAAAAUACUCUAUCGUGAAUGGCCUCAAUAUAUCAUUCAGGUGGUAUUCUUAAAAUUAUAUUUUAAUAUCAAUUAAAAUGUGAAUAUCAGUUAUUUAAUGCAACCUAAAGGAAGUUUGUUUUGUUGAAAAAAAAAAAUGAUGAUCAGCCAUAGUUCUGGCCUGUAAUAAGUUCAAGUGUAUGAUGGCUUCCUGUGCUCAGGCUCACCAGGAAGGGGAAUCAGGACAGCGCACGUUGGCAGGUGGGAGUGUAAAUCCGGGUAGGAGGAGAACUCGUGUCAGGAAUGUGUCAAAUCAAUCUCUUCCAAGCGGGAUCCUCAAAAACCUAAAGGUUCAAAUUUGAAGUGUAUUCCACUCUGUGGAAAAAAAUAAUAAAUGAGAGCAUCAAUAUCUGCACUCUUCAGCUUUAAGCCUCCCAGGGGUACAGGCAAUCAGGCUGAUAAGUUGUAAUUUCACACCCUUUGCACCAGCUGCACUUAACUCAUCUGAUUUUUACCUAUGUCACCGGUAGCACCGCAGGGAAUUAGAAUGAAAGAACUAUUAAAAGCCUAAUGUAUUUUUUCGUAUGUAGGUUGUUUGCAUUUCUAAUGCCUAUUUUGAAGCCUUGUGUGAAGUGGAAAGUGGAGGUGAUAAUUCAUUAGCAAGCAAAAUCUAGAAGUAAGGUAUUAUGAAAAAAAAAAACCUUUUAUGGAGGGAAGAUGGAGAACUUAAUGCUCAAGGUAAACAGUUUCAAUUAGGAAGUUCUUUGAAGUAUGAUGAGAGCAGUCCAAAAAGAAUCAUACAGACUGCCAAAAUAAAGACCGAAAAACAUUGAAAUUUAUGGAGCUUUUAAGGGCCAUUAACUUAAAGGCCGUUGCCUUUCUUUUUUCUUUCCCCCAUUCUAUUUUAAGAAAUGGAAAGGUGUUUAUUUUUCCCUUGGUCAAUUAGUCUGCAAUAGGAGAAAGGUAGAGAGACAUAUUUUGUAGAUGCUAUGAGAAUUUUAGACAGAGAAAACUCUUCUUCUGACCGAGUUUCUCUCUUAAAAAAAUAAAGUAUAUUAAGAGCUGUAAACAGUCAGGAAUUGUGCUAUAUAUAUAUGUGUGUCUAGAAUGUUAGGUAAAACUUUAAUCACUGAAUUUGUGGGGUAACUGUGGAAUACAUUUAUACCUUUUGCUUCUCUGUUAGAAGUUUGGAAGUUAGAUGUCCUGUUGAUGGAAGCUGUUUAGAAGUUUGAUGCCUGAAGCUUGGCAGCACUGCACACAAAACAGGAUGUUGCUGCCCACAGGUCCAGUGUCUCUAUCUUUGAGUGGCAGCAUUUGAUUUUUGCAGGGACAGUAAAGAGCAAGUGUUGCAGGGACUUGGUGUCUGAGCUGGGGGGAUAAUUACAUAUUUCUGCCCCCACCCAUAAUUAUCUCAGGAGGCAUUUCACCUCCAGGGUUUGAAAGACCUUUCUGUGUACUGGCGCUAGCACAGUGUGGAUGGGAAGAGGAAAACAACCAAGGCAGCCUGCACACAGAGCCUGAAUUAUUACCUGCCAGUGGGGCCAGCAGCUCUCACUGCUCUCCCAAGGCUGCAGAGCAGCAGAGAUGCUGCAUGGUGCUGGGUGGGACCACCUCCUGCAGCACGGCUGCUGCCUCACAUGGAGGGGGUAGGGGGGGGCGAAGCAGGACACUGCAAAGAUGGAGGGAGAAAAUGAGCUGUGCUGCUGCUGUGUGUGUGCCUGCCAGCCCUGGCCGUGCCUGUUGUCACACUUGGUUUUCCAUAAAAUUUGAUUGUUUUUGAUCACCGUUAUUGGUGUGAAAUGUUGUACCCUAAUAAGCUACCAGCAAAAUGCCUGUUGUCCUUAGCCCAACUGGAUCUAGCCAUUUAAAAUGCUUUAGAAGUCACAGCAUAAAUAUCAAAUGUUGAUAGACGCAAAGAAAUAAACUCUGGCAAUACCUGUGGUAUGCCUUCAACCAUAGUGGUGAAUAACAUUAAAAUCUCACUGCCCAGCACUCGUACCAAAAAUCAGGAUGCCUGUGUUUGGCUCACUUGUAGGCUGUGGCAACAUCAUAGUGUUCCCUCUUCAUGUGCCUAAUUCUUCACAUAGUUUGAGGACAAUAUGAACCAGAAUACAUGCAGUCCUUCACCUGUCUAUCACUACCUUCUUUCCUGCUCUCGGGAGAUACUGUUGAUCCUUCUUUCUCUUACAGAUUUGUCCAAACUUGUUAGCACUGGCAAAAGUAAUCUCCAUUUCCUCCUGGCUACUUGACAAAAGGAGGACAACAAACUUCUCUCUGCUGACUAGGAAUACAGUAAACAUUCAUGAUUUCAAGUAUGGUGAUAAGAGCGUAUUGCACCACAGUGCCAUCUCAUAGCAGUUUGUUCAGCUGAGCAUUCACUGGGCCAGCACAUCACCACUGUCAGCAUGCAAAUAAGCUCUCCCAUGCAGCUGAGAAUGAAGGCCAGAAGCCUGAAAAUAACCCAGCAAAGCAUGCCUGUUGUAAGGAAUGAGAGGUACUUGCCAACUUUUAAUCACUGGGCUUAGUGACUGGCAUGACAACAUUUUUCUGAUGGGGAAAUUAUUUACAGGCAGUUGGAAGGUCAGGAGGCUGUCUGAAACACUCAAUGGCAAAAUUAGAGUUAGCCUUUCAGUCAACCAUGUUGCUCAGGUACCUGCUUGGUGUUCCAGUGUUAACGUGCAGUACAUUCGAAGUGCAGCCACCUUCACUGUAUGUUUCGGUGUACAAAAUUACCUUCUAAUUAAGAAAUAAGCACAGUGGUAGGGAGGAUUCCACUUUGAGUCUCAGCUUGGCUGUGAGACUCAGUGCAAGCCGUGUAGUGGGCUGUUAGAGUGGUUUGCUUGAUUCUGUUUCUUGUGUCAAACGUUUGUCAGUGUUGAUGAUGAAUAGUAGGGAAAAAUACUGAAUAAGCCCUAAGUGAUUAAUUAGAAUAUUAGUUUAGUAUUUCUGCUGCCAGACAGUCAUGCAGUCCCUGGCAUUACUGCUUAAGGUCUAAAAUGUUGAGAGAGGAAGAGGAAUUUCAAAUAUGUUUAUUCUUAUCCAGAUAAUCUCUGAAUUUAAACUCUAAUAAAGCUUUUCACCGGAAUGAGAUGUUAACUAGCCAAUACUUUAUUCACACUUCAGUUAAACAACGUUUACCUCGGUGAAAGGCACCCAAACUGUGCUACUCUGUGCUACCCUGUUUCUGUGGAAACUGUGUGUUGGAGUGGAAUAGGAAUAAUGGUGGAGAAAAGGAGAGCAGUAGCGUUUUGGCUGAAGUCCUGUUGGCCAGCCCCCGUUUCAGCUGGGAUAAGUCAGCCAAGCAAGGCCUCAGUGCUGGAGCCCCGACAGUUCUUUUUCCUCCUCCUCCUAACUUGUGCCGAGGGAGGAGUCUGCUUCACAGACACCAUUCAAAAAGUGCUUGCUAAAGCAAUUUAUCUGUAUUUUCCCCUGGUUUUUCAUGCAACAAGAAUUUUAGCCAGUCAGUAAUGUUAGUCAAUAGCUGCCUACACUGGUAGGGUAAGGUUUGUUCUGAAAAGAACUUCCAUUGACGCGUAUGUUACUCAGUCACUGCUCUUCUAAAAAGCACCACUGUAUUCUUGGAAAGAAACUCUCCCAAAACUGAAAAGACACAUUUUUCAUCAUUCAGGGGUUUCCAAAAUAUGCAUAUGUUUGAUGGAUUGCCAGGAAAGACAGACAGCCUUGACCAGUAAACUCAGCUCUGUAUUCUCUCUUCUCUGGUAGCUGUUUCACUGACAUUCAUGUUGUUUUCUCCUGGAAUAAGGUAUCUUUCUUAAAAAUAAAAUAUGAAUUAACAGAAAAAUAUAUUUUAUUGUUUUUUCUGUUGUUAUGAUUUCUGUUAAUCAGUGAUUGCCUGCUACCUGUGUGUGUGAGUCAGAGUGAAAAAUCUAACGUGGUGAAGUUGUGAUUGAUGUCUUAAUACUGUAGAAGUAUCUGGUAGGGGUGGGGGUCUAUUUCUUCCACAUACACACAAAAAAUGACUGGCUUCUGAUUGUAGUCUGAGGCUCUGGACUGGAGGACCAGGGCAUUUUGCUGCCUAGCCUCAGUAUACACACAUUGCUACAGAGGAUUGAAAGGCGUUGUGCAGCACUCAUGGUAACCAACAUUCUGUAAAGAAUUCUAAAUCACUGCAGGAGAGGAGACAACAGAAAAAGCAGUUUUCAAGAAUGGAGAGUAUGGGAGAAAAUCAAUUAAGGAAACAGCAUUAUCUUUUCAAAUUCAGGUGUAAGUGUGUGCAGACCCAAGAAUUUCAACAGUUUCUUACAGGUGGAAGCUAAAGGGAAGAGCCUAGAUCAUGGUGAUGUUGGCUGUACAUGUUCGUGCUUCUGUGUGGAAUCAGGGACACCUGCUUCUUGGUCUGCUGCUGCUUCAGCUUCUUGGUGAGACGUUAAAAUCUCUUCAAGUCUCUCUCUAGUCCCCUUUGUGUGCCAGAGUUGGCAGUAGAACAUGAGGAACUUUAACUGCAUCGGUUCAAGGAACCCUGUGGCCCUUUCCCAUUGUGUGCCUGUAGUGCAUUGUGCUAUACAUGAAAGAAGCAGGAAGGGAAUAGAGAGAAAAGCAGGCAGUUGGUAUCAGGCACUGGUGCUGCCUUCAGUCUUUUCUUUAGUAACGUUUCCAUAAACUACAGCUGAGUUGCAGUUCAACCGAACUUUUAAGUUCUGUUUGAUUUGUAACCCAUUCUACAUUUUUUAGAAUAAGUGUUCCUUGUUUCCACUUGGCAGAUCUGAUUGCCCCCCUCUUUAAGUUAUUCAGGCUUUAAGUCUGAAGCUUAAGAAAUAUCUGUUUGUUGAAGUGCUUAUUGAUGCUCACCCAUUUGUAAGGAAUGGCAAGUUCAGGCCACUCAAAGACAUUAUUGAUAAAGACAGGACACAAUACACUGAAACAGCACUCCAUUAACCCAAUUUACCUAGUGCAGAAAAUGAUCACAGUUAUAUCAAUAUAUGCCUAAAGACACAAAUUAGCUUUUUAUUCACUGUAAUCCAUAAAAGUAAUCAGGCACAAAACUGAAGGCACUAAUCAGCAGCUACUUGUCUUCACACUCCUCUUUACACAUCUGGAUCUGCCCUUUACAAAUUGAGGAAAUGUGAAAAACUCUCUCCAGAGCAGUGUGGAAGUCCCAUUCCUUCAAAGCUGUGAUACCCAUAAGAAGGAAAUGAUCUUCACGGCAACACUGUGGCU
Molecule: long non-coding RNA, 7544 nt
Filed under: Gallus gallus (chicken)
Lineage: Eukaryota; Metazoa; Chordata; Aves; Galliformes; Phasianidae
Source: RNAcentral